CUCCGGUUGAUCUUGCCGGACCUGACUGCUAUCGGAUUGGUACUAAGCCAUGCUAGUCGUUGUAGCAAUACAAGGCGGACGGCUCAGUAACACGUAGUCAACCUAACCUAUGGACGUGGAUAACCUCGGGAAACUGAGAAUAAACCGCGAUAGAUCAUUAUGCCUGGAAUGGCUUAUGGUUCAAACAAUUUAUUGCCGUAGGAUGGGACUGCGGCCUAUCAGCUUGUUGGCGGGGUAAUGGCCCACCAAACCUGUAACCGGUACGGGCCUUGAGAGAGGUGGCCCGGAGAUGGACACUGAGAGAAGGGUCCAGGUCCUACGGGGCGCAGCAGGCGCGAAACCUUCGCAAUGCGCGAAAGCGUGACGAGGUUAAUCCGAGUGACUCCCGCUGAGGGGGUCUUUUGUCAGCUGUAAAUAGGCAGGCGAAUAAGGGGAGGGCAAGCCUGGUGUCAGCCGCCGCGGUAAUACCAGCUCCUCGAGUGGUCGGGGCGAUUAUUGGGCCUAAAGCAUCCGUAGCCGGUUCCGUAGGUCCUCUGUUAAAUCCAACCGCUCAACGGUUGACCUGCAGAGGAUACCGCGGGACUAGGAGGCGGGAGAGGCGGACGGUACUCCGCGUGUAGGGGUAAAAUCCUUUGAUCCGCGGAAGACCACCAGUGGCGAAGGCGGUCCGCCAGAACGCGCUCGACGGUGAGGGAUGAAAGCUGGGGGAGCGAACCGGAUUAGAUACCCGGGUAGUCCCAGCCGUAAACGAUGCUAGCUAGAUGAUUCAUUCGCAAGUCGCGAAUGAAGUGUCGCAGGGAAGCCGUUAAGCUAGCCGCCUGGGGAGUACGGUCGCAAGACUGAAACUUAAAGGAAUUGGCGGGGGGAGCA
Molecule: ribosomal RNA, 870 nt
Filed under: uncultured archaeon
Lineage: Archaea
Description: bacterial SSU rRNA
Rfam family: Archaeal small subunit ribosomal RNA
Source: RNAcentral